AAUAUUUAAAUCACAUAAAAAGAAAAUCUAACAAUUAUAAUAAAAUAGUGGUAAGAAAAUAUCUGGCCUGUGAGGUGUGAGAGGCACGCCAAAAGACGCACUGUCCUAAUACCGUUGUUGCCUCCCCACGUGCAGGUAUUGGCGGUCAGCGACGGCUCCAAGAUACAACCCAAACGGCUCACAACGGGCCUAAUCUACAGUGCACGUCUGUAGUAGGCAGAUUACCUAGUCUAUAUCGGUUGCCCAAUAAUAUAGAAAAUUGUAAAAGAGAGAAUGGUGGUAGAGAGAAACAAUGAGAGGAAGAAGAAGGGUUUUUUAUUGUAUUUUUUGUUAGAUACAAGGAAUGGCUCUUUUAUAGGCCUUUUGUCAUCCAACCAUAACGGUUGAAUACUUAUGGCCUCAUUAAGGCCAUAAUGAAAGAUAAUGAGGAAGUUUUGAAACUUCCAAAUGGAAUUUGAAAUACUUAAAGGUUAUAACAACUCUUUUAAAAAUUUGGGGGUUACAAAUCUUUUUUUAUUUACACCUCUUUAAAACUUUUCAAAUUUAUUCAAAUUCCAACAGUCCCCCACAAGUUUCAAAACUUUAUAAAAUCAUAUACAUAUAUAUAGAGAGAAAUUUGGGCAGCUUUAUACUAUGCAAUGGGUGCAGGUGUCUUCCGGACUUGAACCUACACUUAGUGUAGACAGUUCUAACCUGAAGGAUCAUAGUGAACUAAGUCUUGAACUUGACCCUUUGGACCAGAUUUUAACAUGCCACACACAUAGUAUUGAUAUAGACUUUGUGCGGGUUAGCGCUAUUUAUGGCCAUGCGCUGAAUCUUGAUUCUCAUGAGAGUUAUUAGAGAACAGCCCAAUUCUCACGGUCGCGGCCUCACGACAACUCUC
RNAcentral lists this long non-coding RNA (883 nucleotides) under Phoenix dactylifera (date palm). RNAcentral describes it as "long non-coding RNA (PDAC_LNC015043)". The record is from RNAcentral. Lineage: Eukaryota; Viridiplantae; Streptophyta; Magnoliopsida; Arecales; Arecaceae.